RNAcentral lists this long non-coding RNA (473 nucleotides) under Malus domestica (apple). RNAcentral's name for it is "long non-coding RNA (MDOM_LNC013254)". Lineage: Eukaryota; Viridiplantae; Streptophyta; Magnoliopsida; Rosales; Rosaceae. The record is from RNAcentral.
AGUCUUUUAAUUUAAUUUCCAUCCAUUUCAGUUCCUAGUGUUUAAUUUAAUCGUUUUCAUUAUUUUGAGUCAUUUUAAGUGUGUUUCGAGUUAUUAGAGUUUUUAGCCUAAUUUUGUGUUCUUGAGUCUUAUUUAAUAUUUUUAAAUUAAUUUAGAAUAGAUUAGCAAUCCCUCCUAAUCCCCGGCCUAGAACGAUCCCUACUUACAUACUUUACUACAUUUGAUAAAAAGAGGGUUUAAUUUUAUGUGUUAACUUAUUUUUCACAUCAAAUUUUGGCGCCGUUGCCGGGGAUUAGUAACUUUGCUAAUCUUUUUAUUUUUGUUUUUGUUUAUGUUUAUAUUGGUGUUUGUGUGUUUUACUUUUGAUAUUUGAUUUAUUUUUCUUUCUUUGAUUUUAGGUACAAAUGGAGCUGAGGGAAAUUUAAAGGAAAGAUGCGUCCGGCUAAAGACGUUAAAUCAAGCGCUUCUUGGGA